This 485-nucleotide ribosomal RNA is filed under the name uncultured bacterium. RNAcentral describes it as "partial 16S ribosomal RNA". It matches the Rfam family "Bacterial small subunit ribosomal RNA", at positions 29 to 523 of the family's 1533-position model. The record is from RNAcentral.
AGUGAACGCUGGCGGCGUGCUUAACACAUGCAAGUCGAACGAGAACGGAAUAUAGCUUGCUAUAUUUGUCAGCUAAGUGGCGCACGGGUGAGUAAUGUAUAGAUAACCUGCCCUUAAGAAAGGAAUAACAGUUGUAAACGACUGCUAAUGCCCUAUAUGCCUUUAAUACAUAAGUAUGCAAGGGAAACGCUUUAGUGCUUAAGGAUGGGUCUGUAUGGUAUCAGCUUGUUGGUGAGGUAAUGGCUCACCAAGGCUAUGACGCCUAACUGGUUUGAGAGGAUGAUCAGUCACACUGGAACUGAGACACGGUCCAGACUCCUAAGGGAGGCAGCAGUGGGGAAUAUUGCACAAUGGACGAAAGUCUGAUGCAGCAACGCCGCGUGGAGGAUGACACAUUUCGGUGCGUAAACUCCUUUUAUAUAGGAAGAUAAUGACGGUACUAUAUGAAUAAGCACCGGCUAACUCCGUGCCAGCCGCCGCAGUAA